RNAcentral lists this ribosomal RNA (1086 nucleotides) under Triticum aestivum (bread wheat). Its description in RNAcentral is "partial small subunit ribosomal RNA". Lineage: Eukaryota; Viridiplantae; Streptophyta; Magnoliopsida; Poales; Poaceae. The record is from RNAcentral.
AUGGGCCAACCUCUAGCCUUUUGCCAGCGUACGGGUGGCUCCCAGUUCUGGCAGUCCGUGGUCCAGCUUCUGCCCGUCCUCCACUUCGGUACGUCCAUCUCUAUUGGAUCCGGGGCCUCGACCCUGUUCUGGUUCGAACGCUGGCUUGGGGACUCCCCCUUAGCUGUGUGUUUCCCAGAACUAUUUGCCAUUGCGGCUGACCCUCGGGCCUCUGUCGAGACGGCCCUUAUUGACUUAGGGCAUCUUGCUUUCCGCCAGCCCUUCGGCCCUCUCGAGGUGGCUGCUUGGGAUUCCCUCCUCCAAGACAUGGCCCUGAUGCCGAUGAACAUUGAGGAGGACCAGGAUGCCAUUUCCUGGCACCUGGAGUCGUCAGGUCGCUUCUCCAUGAAGUCCUUGUAUGUGGCCAUCGCGCCAUCGACGGCCCCGGAACCGUUUAACCUGAUAUGGGACAUCCUCCUCCCUCUGAAGAUCCAGAUCUUUCUGUGGCAAUGGAUCCACAAACGCCUCCCCUCUGGUGUCGAAGUCCUUAUGCGUAACGGCCAGGGUGAUGGGAUCUACCCCAUAUGUGGCAUGAUCGAGGAUGCUAACCACAUCUUCUUCUCAUGCUCUACUGCCCAGUUCAUGUGGGCCUGCUUCCGCGAAACUGUCGGUGGCCAGUGGUGCAAUACCAAUUUCCCCAACUUACUUGCGGGGAUGAACACCUCCCCUCCCCGCUAUCUCCAUAUUCGAUGGCUGUGUGUUGGGAUCCUCGCCUGGACGCUUUGGAACAUUCACAACAAGCUUGUCAGUCAGAAAGUCCCUCUUCGACGUGCGACUGACGCUAUCUUCAAAAUGUGUGGCUACUUGCAGCUUUGGCGGCCGCUUAGCCGCCCCCAGGACCGGGACAUCAUCACCAACCUCCUCGCCGAUCUUCGCUCGAUGGCGCUCCGUGUGGCCCCCCGCUCCCGCCCCCUCCGCCUGAGCCCGACUAGGCUGUCGGUCUGCUCUGCACCUUGCGCUGUGCGCCGUGCGCUGUGUUGUGAGUGUUUAGGGCUUUUUGUGUUGUGCCCUCAGCUCGGACCCUCGUGUCUUUUUGUAUGCUUAUGA